AAUCUACUCGGCUCCUCUUCCACGCUGUGGAGGCUUUGUUCUUUCCUUCUUCACAAUAGAUCUUGCUGCUGCUCACUCUGUGGGUCCGCACUACAUUUAUGAGCUGUAACACUCACUGCGAAGGUCUGCAGCUUCACUUCUGAAGUCAGCAAGACCACGAACCCACCGGGAAGAAAAAACAACUCCAGACGCACCACCUUUAAGAGCUAUAACGCUCACUGCGAAGGUCUGCGGCUUCACUCCUGAAGUCAAGCGAACCCACUGGAAGGAAGAAACUCAGGAACAUCUGAAGGAACAAGCUCCAGACACACCAUCUUUAAGAACUGUAACACUCACCACGAGGGUCCGUGACUUCAUUCUUGAAGUCAGCGAGACCAAGAACCCACUGGAAGGAACAAUUCCGGACACACUGGUACAUAGAAAGUAUUCUCUUGUAUUUGUUAUUAUUAUUAUUAUUUGAUUAUAUCAAUAGUCUGUGAUCCUGACUUCUUCUUUCUCAUUUGUUGAGUUUCCAGUUCCUUCAAAUUGCCUUACUCAGG
RNAcentral lists this long non-coding RNA (539 nucleotides) under Homo sapiens (human). RNAcentral describes it as "HSALNT0366946". The record is from RNAcentral. Lineage: Eukaryota; Metazoa; Chordata; Mammalia; Primates; Hominidae.